UUACUAUCGUCAGAUUGACAGAAAGCGGUGAACGGCUUGAAAUGCAUUUCUGAUGACUCUAUACCUGAAUCUCUUUUUGGUGGAAACCGAUUGCAGAUGAUAACUUUUCGAAGCUGGAUUAUUCUCAGUUUUGAACACAGACUGUUUUCUGAAAGACAGGAGGAUAUCCGCGAACAUAUAAAUGAUUUACCUCCGAAUGUUGAACUGGUUCCGUGCACAUGACUGGCAGAGCUGUGAGGAGGGUGUGAAUAUCAGCGGUGCGAAAGCUCUCCAUGUCAACUUCUGCCAAAUUGGCAUCCAGGUUUCGUGCAAGGUCAUCAUAGUAGCCCAGGUCAUCUCGAGUGUAGGAAGCAGAGAGUGAGGAAAGAACGCUAGGGUGAACAUGUAGUCCUCCA
Molecule: long non-coding RNA, 395 nt
Organism: Belonocnema kinseyi
Lineage: Eukaryota; Metazoa; Arthropoda; Insecta; Hymenoptera; Cynipidae
Exons: 3
Source: RefSeq, a predicted model, not a curated record